This 445-nucleotide ribosomal RNA is filed under the name uncultured bacterium. RNAcentral describes it as "bacterial SSU rRNA". It matches the Rfam family "Bacterial small subunit ribosomal RNA", at positions 354 to 796 of the family's 1533-position model. The record is from RNAcentral.
GUGAGGAAUAUUGGUCAAUGGGCGAGAGCCUGAACCAGCCAAGUCGCGUGAAGGAUGAAGGCCCUAUGGGUCGUAAACUUCUUUUAUACGGGAAUAACGAGCCUUACGGGUAGGGCGCUGAAUGUACCGUAGGAAUAAGCAUCGGCUAACUCCGUGCCAGCAGCCGCGGUAAUACGGAGGAUGCGAGCGUUAUCCGGAUUUAUUGGGUUUAAAGGGUGCGUAGGUUGCUUGGUAAGUCAGCGGUGAAAACUGAACGCUCAACGUUCAGCGUGCCGUUGAAACUGUCAGGCUUGAGUGCAGUGGCGGCAGGCGGAAUUCGUGGUGUAGCGGUGAAAUGCAUAGAUAUCACGAGGAACUCCGAUUGCGAAGGCAGCUUGCCAUACUGUAACUGACACUGAAGCACGAAGGCGUGGGUAUCAAACAGGAUUAGAAACCCUAGUAGUCC